UUGCUUCUCUUGAGAGCGGCGGACGGGUGAGUAAAGCCUAGGAAUCUGCCUGGUAGUGGGGGAUAACGUUCGGAAACGGACGCUAAUACCGCAUACGUCCUACGGGAGAAAGCAGGGGACCUUCGGGCCUUGAGCUAUCAGAUGAGCCUAGGUCGGAUUAGCUAGUUGGUGAGGUAAUGGCUCACCAAGGCGACGAUCCGUAACUGGUCUGAGAGGAUGAUCAGUCACACUGGAACUGAGACACGGUCCAGACUCCUACGGGAGGCAGCAGUGGGGAAUAUUGGACAAUGGGCGAAAGCCUGAUCCAGCCAUGCCGCGUGUGUGAAGAAGGUCUUCGGAUUGUAAAGCACUUUAAGUUGGGAGGAAGGGCAUUAACCUAAUACGUUAGUGUUUUGACGUUACCGACAGAAUAAGCACCGGCUAACUCUGUGCCAGCAGCCGCGGUAAUACAGAGGGUGCAAGCGUUAAUCGGAAUUACUGGGCGUAAAGCGCGCGUAGGUGGUUUGUUAAGUUGGAUGUGAAAUCCCCGGGCUCAACCUGGGAACUGCAUUCAAAACUGACUGACUAGAGUAUGGUAGAGGGUGGUGGAAUUUCCUGUGUAGCGGUGAAAUGCGUAGAUAUAGGAAGGAACACCAGUGGCGAAGGCGACCACCUGGACUAAUACUGACACUGAGGUGCGAAAGCGUG
Molecule: ribosomal RNA, 687 nt
Filed under: uncultured bacterium
Lineage: Bacteria
Description: bacterial SSU rRNA
Rfam family: Bacterial small subunit ribosomal RNA
Source: RNAcentral